GCAGUGGUGGUUCAGUGGCAGAAUUCUUGCCUUCCAUGCUGGAGACCUGAGUUCGAUUCCCUGCCAGUGCA
This 71-nucleotide transfer RNA is filed under the name Loxodonta africana (African savanna elephant). It matches the Rfam family "tRNA". From Rfam's summary of the family: Transfer RNA (tRNA) molecules are approximately 80 nucleotides in length. Their secondary structure includes four short double-helical elements and three loops (D, anti-codon, and T loops). Lineage: Eukaryota; Metazoa; Chordata; Mammalia; Proboscidea; Elephantidae. The record is from Rfam by way of RNAcentral.